GACGAACGCUGGCGGCGUGCCUAAUACAUGCAAGUAGAACGCUGAAGGAGGAGCUUGCUUCUCUGGAUGAGUUGCGAACGGGUGAGUAACGCGUAGGUAACCUGCCUGGUAGCGGGGGAUAACUAUUGGAAACGAUAGCUAAUACCGCAUAAGAGUAGAUGUUGCAUGAUAUUUGCUUAAAAGGUGCAAUUGCAUCACUACCAGAUGGACCUGCGUUGUAUUAGCUAGUUGGUGAGGUAACGGCUCACCAAGGCAACGAUACAUAGCCGACCUGAGAGGGUGAUCGGCCACACUGGGACUGAGACACGGCCCAGACUCCUACGGGAGGCAGCAGUAGGGAAUCUUCGGCAAUGGACGGAAGUCUGACCGAGCAACGCCGCGUGAGUGAAGAAGGUUUUCGGAUCGUAAAGCUCUGUUGUAAGAGAAGAACGAGUGUGAGAGUGGAAAGUUCACACUGUGACGGUAUCUUACCAGAAAGGGACGGCUAACUACGUG
This 495-nucleotide ribosomal RNA is filed under the name uncultured bacterium. RNAcentral's name for it is "partial 16S ribosomal RNA". It matches the Rfam family "Bacterial small subunit ribosomal RNA", at positions 28 to 507 of the family's 1533-position model. The record is from RNAcentral.